UCCUCGCCUCGCAUUCAAAACAAAAACACUCGAAACGAAAAUAAAAUAUUCACCACCGCCUCGUUUGCCAACAUCGUCUUUACAAGGAAUGUCCAGCAGUGCAUGACAGAGGCCGGUCACUCCCAUUAAGUCCAGGCAGCUGAAGAGCCUCCCCAAAGACAGUUCAUAGGACAAAAUGCAGUUACACAGAUUUUAACGGUGUUGGAAACAAUGAGAGACGAGAACAGGGAAAUGAAGCGGAUGCUGCAGCAGCUCUUGGCUAGGUCAGCUACUGAUGACGAGCCAAUGCAACUGCCAGAGAACAUCAUUCUUCCAAUUAGAACAUUUGAGCAAAUGGAUGAGUUUGAAUAGCAUCUUGGUGAUGAAGCUACGAUCCAUCUUUUCUAGGACUGCUGCAUAGUUCAAGCUUUUUUAUCAAAUAUAUUAAGCAAUGUUGUAAAUGUAAUUGACAGUUUUUUCUCCAUUAAUCCUAAACCAUUCCUUUAAGGCUCAUCUUCUAAGAAAGCAAACAAUCUUUUUUAUCUGGAAAUGAAACGGUAUAUAUUCCUUUGCAAAAGAAGAAACAGCAUUUCAGUUUUUGAAGGUUUUAAAAGACAUAUAUAAUAUAUAUAUAUAUAUAUAUAUAUCAUGUGCAAUUACGAAAAACACUAGAAUGUAUGAAGAUAUCAAAGAUAAUAAUAUGGACUUGUUCUCGAAAAAGGAUUUGCCAUUUAUUUCAGUUUUGGAUUUUUUUGCAGGGUUUUUAAUUUGUAGUUUAUAAAAUAUUUUGUUUAGUCUUGCAAGUAUGUUUUCCACGAAUGUUCUUUGAGUACAUGGUGUGUUAUUUGUAUUGGUUAAAGAUUUAAUAUGCAUGGGUAUGUUUUGUAGUAAUGUGUAGUAAAUCAGGAAAAUACUUGAAGGUAUUCUGUAUAUGUAAAAAUAAUAGAAGUCCUUAAUUCUAUAGUCGUAUAACUGGUCGACAUAUAUAAUGUUAUAGAAAAACGUCUUAUUGUUUGAAGUUAUGUCUUUAUUGUUCCAUAAAAUACUGUUGGUUUGGGUUUAUAUAUUAUGAGUAACAUUACUCCAUGCAGAUAGAACAUUAGAUAGAAACAUGUUUUCGUUAGCUACUUUAUGUAAAAUACUUUUGCUGAUGUUACAUUCAAAAAGUUAGGAAUCACAUUAUUAUUUUAGAAUUUUCUGGUAGAAUAGUUAACGUGGGAUCCUCCUGCUAUGUAUGUAUGAAUCCAUGUAUAUGUGUGUAAUACUUUAUGUGAAUAAAAGUUGAGAGUACUUUAAUAAAUUUUUAAGUCUUAACAAAAACCUUGUAUUUCUUGCAGGAUAAUGCUAUUAAGCUCUUAAACCCUUUGAUAUCACUCUGUUCCAGCAAGAAGAAAUAGAUAAAACAUUUUAAAAAAAUGAAAUUGAAAGUACAUGUACAAGAAUCUUUUGUCUGAUGUUCAAUUUGAACACACAGUAUUUCAUGUUUGCAGCCUACAUAUUAUUUCUAACAUCACCUGAAUUUCCAUUAAUGCGUUGUCCCAAAUUUUACAGGCUCUGUGUACCCAUAUUGAAUACAAUGCUACCAGUUUGUAGCCCAUAUUUAGUACAAUGCUGCCCGUAUGUAGCCCAUAUUGAGUAAAAGGGCUACCCGUAUGUAGCCCAUAUUGAGUAAAAGG
Dreissena polymorpha is the source of this 1655-nucleotide long non-coding RNA. RefSeq lists it as uncharacterized. NCBI's taxonomy places the organism in Eukaryota, Metazoa, Mollusca, Bivalvia, Myida, Dreissenidae. The record is from RefSeq and is a predicted model, not a curated record. The transcript is spliced from 3 exons.